AAGUCGUAACAAGGUAUCCGUAGGUGAACCUGCGGAUGGAUCAUUAUCACGUUAUCCACGUAUAAACCAAUCUGUGAACUGUUCUUGCCUUUGGAGAUGUUGAGUAUGGUAGAGUCAAUGGAUGAGAUGAACUAAUGUGAAUACUCAUUCGAUUCUAUCGAUUUCAAUUUGGUUUCGGCCAAUUGGAAAGCUCAUAUUUCUAAAGUGUAUAUCUAAAAAAAUUCACUUUAUUAACCACUUGAACCAAUCUAAUAUUUUAUUCUCUGUGUGAACUGAAUUGUUUCUUACUCAUUUAACCGUGAGAAGAAAUUAUUUACGAAACAUAUAGAACAACUCUUAGCAACGGAUAUCUUGGUUCUCGUAACGAUGAAAAACGCAGC
RNAcentral lists this unclassified non-coding RNA (380 nucleotides) under fungal sp. RNAcentral describes it as "partial internal transcribed spacer region". The stretch from base 1 to 46 matches the Rfam family "Eukaryotic small subunit ribosomal RNA", at positions 1786 to 1831 of the family's 1831-position model. Lineage: Eukaryota; Fungi. The record is from RNAcentral.